AUUGAACGCUGGCGGCAUGCCUUACACAUGCAAGUCGAACGGCAGCACGGGAGCAAUCCUGGUGGCGAGUGGCGAACGGGUGAGUAAUAUAUCGGAACGUGCCCAGUCGUGGGGGAUAACGCAGCGAAAGCUGUGCUAAUACCGCAUACGAUCUACGGAUGAAAGCGGGGGAUCGCAAGACCUCGCGCGAUUGGAGCGGCCGAUAUCAGAUUAGGUUGUUGGUGGGGUAAAAGCCCACCAAGCCGACGAUCUGUAGCUGGUCUGAGAGGACGACCAGCCACACUGGAACUGAGACACGGUCCAGACUCCUACGGGAGGCAGCAGUGGGGAAUUUUGGACAAUGGGCGCAAGCCUGAUCCAGCAAUGCCGCGUGCAGGAUGAAGGCCUUCGGGUUGUAAACUGCUUUUGUACGGAACGAAACGGUCUGCUCUAAUACAGCGUACUAAUGACGGUACCGUAAGAAUAAGCACCGGCUAACUACGUGCCAGCAGCCGCGGUAAUACGUAGGGUGCGAGCGUUAAUCGGAAUUACUGGGCGUAAAGCGUGCGCAGGCGGUUAUAUAAGACAGAUGUGAAAUCCCCGGGCUCAACCUGGGACCUGCAUUUGUGACUGUAUAGCUAGAGUGCGGCAGAGGGGGAUGGAAUUCCGCGUGUAGCAGUGAAAUGCGUAGAUAUGCGGAGGAACACCGAUGGCGAAGGCA
Molecule: ribosomal RNA, 700 nt
Filed under: Pseudomonadota bacterium
Lineage: Bacteria; Pseudomonadati; Pseudomonadota
Description: bacterial SSU rRNA
Rfam family: Bacterial small subunit ribosomal RNA
Source: RNAcentral